UCUCUUAAAUUAAAAAUACAUAUAAAAGACAAUCCAUGUCGACUUUGUGCGCAUUAUUCGCUAUUAUGUGUUCUUUUAAUUAAAAUGAUUCUUUUUAAAUCUCCAACAUUGCUUCCGCAUUUUGGGGAUUUGUUUCUUUUUGAAAAUUUUAGAGUGCAAAGCAAACACAUAUAUCAUUUUUGCGCUUGAGUACUCCACCGUGGGAUAACACAAUUGAGCACAUCUCAAUUUUUGUGCUUUUUUCUUAUAUUGUGUUUUAUACAAUAUUAAUAGGAGAAGCUUGGGGGCAUUUGUGUUCUCAUGUGUCAGAUGAAAUUCUCUUAUUUUCUGGGGACACACACCUGCGAAAGCAUUUGCCUCUAAUACUUCCCCUUUUCUCAAGAAAGAAAGUUUUAGGGAGUGAGAACAAUAUCAUACCCCCUCAAUCUCUACCCUAAACUAUGCCCACACUGCUUUGUAUGAAAAAUUUUUUAAAAUGGGUUUUCCUUUCCCUCCUCGGGGAGGACUCACA
RNAcentral lists this ribosomal RNA (511 nucleotides) under Plasmodium coatneyi. Its description in RNAcentral is "partial 18S ribosomal RNA". It matches the Rfam family "Eukaryotic small subunit ribosomal RNA", at positions 628 to 1091 of the family's 1831-position model. Lineage: Eukaryota; Apicomplexa; Aconoidasida; Haemosporida; Plasmodiidae. The record is from RNAcentral.